This 410-nucleotide ribosomal RNA is filed under the name Bacteroidota bacterium. Its description in RNAcentral is "Bacteroidetes bacterium partial 16S ribosomal RNA". It matches the Rfam family "Bacterial small subunit ribosomal RNA", at positions 355 to 776 of the family's 1533-position model. Lineage: Bacteria; Pseudomonadati; Bacteroidota. The record is from RNAcentral.
UGGGGAAUAUUGCGCAAUGGGGGAAACCCUGACGCAGCGACGCCGCGUGCGGGAUGAAGGCCUUCGGGUUGUAAACCGCUUUUGAUUGGGAGCAAGCUUUCGGGUGAGUGUACCUUUCGAAUAAGCGCCGGCUAACUACGUGCCAGCAGCCGCGGUAAUACGUAGGGCGCAAGCGUUAUCCGGAAUUAUUGGGCGUAAAGGGUACGUAGGCGGGUAAGCAAGUUAGAAGUGAAAUCCUGUAGCUCAACUACAGUAAGCUUUUAAAACUGCUCAUCUUGAGAUAUGGAAGGGAAAGUGGAAUUCCUAGUGUAGCGGUGAAAUGCGCAGAUAUUAGGAGGAAUACCGGUGGCGAAGGCGACUUUCUGGCCAUAAUCUGACGCUGAGGUACGAAAGCGUGGGUAGCAAACAGG